Molecule: ribosomal RNA, 1847 nt
Filed under: Triticum aestivum (bread wheat)
Lineage: Eukaryota; Viridiplantae; Streptophyta; Magnoliopsida; Poales; Poaceae
Description: partial small subunit ribosomal RNA
Source: RNAcentral
CUUUUGUUGUACAGGGAGUGGGAGUAUCGGGGAUAGGAUAUGUGCAUCGAGCAGAGGGGUCUGGUGUUCACUUCAGGUUUCUUGCCUCAGUCGGAUCAAUUCUGGAGUCCUUGAUCUCCUCGUCCUUCAUCAACAGCUUUACGUGGGAAGAGCACAAUGAUGAAUUUUACGGAGGAUGCUCCUGUAAAGAAAGGCUCUGUUCUCUUAACAAGGAUGGAAAGUAUAACGGCAUACAAAAACCAACGUGGACAACCCAAAUUUGCAACUCCAGAACAAUCUGACAUUCCAGUGUCUGCUAAUGACAUGUGUUCCCUUGCUGAAUGGCCAUCCCAUGCUCGCCGCAACUGUGCGCGACUACAGGAUGAAGCUGGUGGACAGAAGAAGAAAGGGCGAGGUGUUCUAAAAGGUUUUAAAGCUAAAUAUUACAUUCUCUGAAAAAUUGGGUGGUACAGUAGGAAUGAACUAUCGCUCGUUCAAGGAUGACGUGGUUGUCAUAAUGAAAAGAAAGUUACCACUCAUUGGAGUGAGGACGUGGUCGGACAUUCACCCUACCAUUCAUCGACUCAUUGUUGCAGAUAUAAUAGACAGAUGGGACCUGGAAGAUACACUAGAAACAGAAGAAAAAGUUUUCAAAAUUGCGAAAGAGAGAUAUAGAGGCUGGCGAUCAACUCUAAGCUCCACUUACAAGGAAUACAAAACAGAUGCAACUAGAUUGGCUAAUCUGCCUGAAGAUUUACAACCAGAAGAGUGGGAAUGGAUGAUUGAGUACUUUGGCACUGAUUCAAAAUUUCAGGAACGCAGCCAAAAGAACGCUGAUAACCGUAAGAAACAGAAGACAAAACAUAUAAUCGGAUCAAAAUCUUACUCACAAGUUAGUUUCGAGAAGAGAAACUUAGAAACUGGAGAAGAGCCAGAUUGUAUUACUCUAUGGGAAUUCACCCAUACAAACAAUGGAACAUGGUCUAACACAGAUUCCCAGAAAGUUUACGACCAAGCACUUGAAGAGGUUAAAAACAAAGAAGCUGAAACUGAAGGUCCACUUUCAAGUGAGCAGAAAAACAAUGUUUUCCAGACUGCUUACAAAGACACUCUGGAAUGCAAGUCAUCGCAGCCUCGUGGGUACGGAUACAUGGCCAAAACUUCAACUGGUUCUGAAAAGUUCCGUAUCCAGAUUGAAGAGCAAGCUCGUGCUACAGCAGCCACCCAGGAGCGAAACUCUCAGCUCAGCCAGCAGGUCAAUGAUUUAGAAGAUCAACUACAAGCUGAACGUGCUAACACACAAGAGAGGAUUAACUUGGAGCGUGCUGAGAGAGAACAACUUGAGGAGAGGUUAAAACAAGAGCGUGCUGAAAGGGAAAGAUUGUUGCAAGAGGAGCGAACAUCAAGACUGGAAUUUGAAAAAACAUGAUGGCAAAGUUUGUAGAAUUGAGCAAACAGAUGGAAACCCAACAGGUUCCUACGAAGAGGGUUGACAAAGAAAAUAGUAAUCCAAACUUGCAAAAUAUUCUUUCACAGACAUCUAGUCCUAAUAAGACUCCAGAUUCAAGGCCGACUGCUAUUUCUUCAAAUGCGCUCAUACAAGCUGCAGCAAGGCAAUCUCGAAUGUAUAAAGCAAUGGAUCCAAAGAACUAGCUGGACUGGACUCUAGAUCACAGGCAGUUUAGUCUUCGAAGUUAAUUAGGAUGGCUAAAUUACAUUUGAGUUUUAUUUGAUGGAUAUUUUCUGUCAGAAGUAUGAAUUGUAUGAAUCUACAUAUUAUAUAUAUGGUUUUGAAUAUUGUAAUUAAAACCCUGUAAUUUUUUUUAUGAUUGCAAUAGACUAUUACCACAACCCAUUUUUGGUUGCCA